Molecule: ribosomal RNA, 106 nt
Filed under: Pteropus alecto (black flying fox)
Lineage: Eukaryota; Metazoa; Chordata; Mammalia; Chiroptera; Pteropodidae
Source: RNAcentral
GUCUACAGCCAUGCCAGCCUGAACAAGCCCAAUCCCUUCUGAUCUCGGAAGCUAAGCAGGGUCGGGCCUGGUUAGUACUUGGAUGGAAGAUCAGGUGCUGAAGGUG